This 170-nucleotide non-coding RNA is filed under the name Priestia koreensis. RNAcentral describes it as "Bacillus koreensis GlcN6P sequence". It matches the Rfam family "glmS glucosamine-6-phosphate activated ribozyme aptamer". From Rfam's summary of the family: This entry contains a glucosamine-6-phosphate activated ribozyme that is found in the mRNA for GlmS. GlmS is an enzyme that uses fructose-6-phosphate and glutamine to generate glucosamine-6-phosphate. Lineage: Bacteria; Bacillati; Bacillota; Bacilli; Caryophanales; Bacillaceae. The record is from Rfam by way of RNAcentral.
AUAACUUUAAAAGCGCCUGAACUAAGCUGGAGCGACCAUGAGCUUAGUUGACGAGGAGGAGGUUUAUCGAAGUAUCGGCGGAUGCCUCCCGGUUGAACCAACCACAACCGUAACGUUCUGUAAAAAGCAAAGGGGUGACCCUUUGUACAAAUGCAGUUCGAUGGUUAACA